GUGCCAGCAGCCGCGGUAAUACGUAGGUGGCAAGCGUUAUCCGGAAUUAUUGGGCGUAAAGCGCGCGUAGGCGGUUUUUUAAGUCUGAUGUGAAAGCCCACGGCUCAACCGUGGAGGGUCAUUGGAAACUGGAAAACUUGAGUGCAGAAGAGGAAAGUGGAAUUCCAUGUGUAGCGGUGAAAUGCGCAGAGAUAUGGAGGAACACCAGUGGCGAAGGCGACUUUCUGGUCUGUAACUGACGCUGAUGUGCGAAAGCGUGGGGAUCAAACA
RNAcentral lists this ribosomal RNA (270 nucleotides) under uncultured Staphylococcus sp. RNAcentral's name for it is "partial 16S ribosomal RNA". It matches the Rfam family "Bacterial small subunit ribosomal RNA", at positions 505 to 774 of the family's 1533-position model. Lineage: Bacteria; Bacillati; Bacillota; Bacilli; Caryophanales; Staphylococcaceae. The record is from RNAcentral.